Non-coding RNA from Bactrocera oleae (olive fruit fly), 1491 nucleotides. The record is from RefSeq and is a predicted model, not a curated record. Lineage: Eukaryota; Metazoa; Arthropoda; Insecta; Diptera; Tephritidae.
GCUUCGUUGUUCUUGGAACAAUUCGAAAGAAAAACCAAUGAAAGGCUUAUAUAAUUGUAAUCUGUCAAUUAAUUAUUCUUCUUCGGAAAACAACAGCAUAUUCAGUUCGUUUAGUUUUUUUAACAGAUAUAAAUGUUUUGAGUUUUCCUUUUCAAUAACUACAACUAUUUAAGACAAACAAUUUCAAAAGUCAAAACACAAACGCUUUUAAUUUUUUCACCAAACCUUAUAACAUUAUGUCUAGAACAGCAUUUAUUAAGCACUGAAGUAAUUAAAUUUGGUUUCACUCACCGUUAAAGACGUUAUUAAAAAACCAAGUUGAUAUAAAAUCGAAUUUAGGCGAAAGCGAAAGAUGCGCUGUACUUCGGACGAAUCGUUGCGAAAAAAGCGAGCGGGAUCCUUUUUUUAGUCCCUUAUAUAUUUCUUGAUGUCUUCAUGGUGGUGUGAUCGUGGUGAUUUUGUAUUUGUGUGCGUGUUGGUGUACGGUGUAGUGAUGUGGAAUGUAUGAAAAAAACAUAAUACGUCUAAGCGAUUGGCUCUAGAUAAAUCCAAACAGUCAACUAAGCCCACUAUGGAAAGAACACUUCUAACACCUAAAAUAACCGGACGAGUAUCAAUUGAAUAACAUGCUUUGAUUUCCUGGCAAAAAAUACUCCUAACAUCGUAUGCACAUCUAUGGAUUGAUCUACUCGCGGUUCAUAUAAUGAAGUAAAAUCCUUAAAUGACAGAAUGAAUCUGAAUGGAGAAGAUGAGAGUACAUACCUCUUACCUAAAUAUUUUAAAUCGAAAAUCCAUUUAAGGUACAUCCAACCAACUAAUCUUCUCAAGCCACCACUACAUCAAAGUGAACUUGUUUACAGAAACACAAGCGAACCGUUCCCACUAGUAGACGUAUGAAUGCGUACUGCGAUAAUCCUUUCAAAGCCGAAAAACUGCAUUUAACGCAGUAAUAAUUCAGCACCAGACGCCAUUCAUCAUCACGUCAAACCGCCUCCGCCUCUCCCUCCGCAUCGCUUCAAUGCGAGCUGAACCAAGCCAUUAUUGGUCAUCUGCUGCACUCAGUUGCCCAAGCCGACGCAAUACUCAGACAAAUGCCGAGCUUAAAUAGAAGAACUCAGCUUAAAUGUGUUGGUCAUGUUGCAAGGAAAUUCACUGCCGAGGUGUAUAAUAUGUGAGAAGAAAUAUUCAACUGCAAUGCGGAGUAAUGUUGAGCAUCAUGAAAAGCGCAUUUUCAUAGACAACUGCGCUGAAGACAUUAAUUUGAUUUUCGAAUAAAUGAGUGAAAUAUUCGCAAUUCGCUCGAAAGUAGGUCAGGUAAUACUAAUAACGUUCGUGGAAAUAACAAAAAAUUUCCAGACACAGCAUUCAGUAAUAUCCAUAUAUUUAAAUUAGUUUAAUAAUUGGCAGAAGCACUGAACCAUUUUCUUUAAAUUUUAUAGUAUACCAGUAUAAUCCAAGAAAAUAAACGGUAUUAACAGUACUAAAUAUAAU